Molecule: ribosomal RNA, 478 nt
Filed under: uncultured bacterium
Lineage: Bacteria
Description: partial 16S ribosomal RNA
Rfam family: Bacterial small subunit ribosomal RNA
Source: RNAcentral
GAUGAACGCUGGCGGCGUGCUUAACACAUGCAAGUCGAACGAUUAAAGCCCCUUCGGGGGUGUAUAGAGUGGCGAACGGGUGAGUAACACGUGGGCAAUCUGCCCCUCACACUGGGAUAACUCGAGGAAACUCGUGCUAAUACCGGAUACUCCGGACUGACCACAUGGUCGGUUCGGGAAAGCUCCGGCGGUGAGGGAUGAGCCCGCGGCCCAGUAGCUAGUUGGUGAGGUAACGGCCCACCAAGGCAACGAUGGGUAGCCGCGCGGAGAGGCGGAUCGGCCACACUGGGACUGGGACACGGGCAAGACUCCGACGGGAGGCAGCAGUGGAGAAUUUUUCGCAAUGGGCGAAAGCCUGACGCAGCAACGCCGCGUGCGGGAUGAAGGCCUUCGGGUUGUAAACCGCUUUCAGCAGGGAUGAAAAUGACAGUACCUGCAGAAGAAGCCCCGGUUAACUACGUGCCAGCCGCCGCCGUAA